GACGAACGCUGGCGGCGUGCUUAACACAUGCAAGUCGAACGGAAAGGCCUGCUUUCCCUUGUGGAUUGCGGGUACUCGAGUGGCGAACGGGUGAGUAACACGUGAGUGAUCUGCCCCCAACUUGGGUAUAAGCCUGGGAAACUGGGUCUAAUUCCCGAUAGGACUGCAUGGUGGUGCCUGUGGUGGAAAACGAUUUUCUAGUGGUUGGGGAUGAGCUCGCGGCCUAUCAGCUUGUUGGUGGGGUAAUGGCCUACCAAGGCGGCGACGGGUAGCCGGCCUGAGAGGGUGGACGGCCACAUUGGGACUGAGAUCCGGCCCAGACUCCUACGGGAGGCAGCAGUGGGGAAUAUUGCACAAUGGGCGGAAGCCUGAUGCAGCGACGCCGCGUGGGGGAUGACGGCCUUCGGGUUGUAAACUCCUUUCGACCGCGAGGAAGCCACCUGGUUGGAAGGGUGGUGACGGUAGUGGUAGAAGAAGCACCGGCUAACUACGUG
RNAcentral lists this ribosomal RNA (494 nucleotides) under uncultured bacterium. RNAcentral describes it as "partial 16S ribosomal RNA". It matches the Rfam family "Bacterial small subunit ribosomal RNA", at positions 28 to 507 of the family's 1533-position model. The record is from RNAcentral.